AUGAAGAACGUAGCGAAAUGCGAUACUUGGUGUGAAUUGCAGAAUCCCGCGAAUCAUCGAGUCUUUGAACGCAAGUUGCGCCCGGAGCCGUCAGGCCGAGGGCACGCC
RNAcentral lists this ribosomal RNA (108 nucleotides) under Butomus umbellatus (flowering-rush). RNAcentral's name for it is "5.8S ribosomal RNA". It matches the Rfam family "5.8S ribosomal RNA", at positions 36 to 141 of the family's 154-position model. From Rfam's summary of the family: 5.8S ribosomal RNA (5.8S rRNA) is a component of the large subunit of the eukaryotic ribosome. The record is from RNAcentral. Lineage: Eukaryota; Viridiplantae; Streptophyta; Magnoliopsida; Alismatales; Butomaceae.